Molecule: long non-coding RNA, 257 nt
Filed under: Lathyrus oleraceus (garden pea)
Lineage: Eukaryota; Viridiplantae; Streptophyta; Magnoliopsida; Fabales; Fabaceae
Description: Pisum sativum (pea) long non-coding RNA (PSAT_LNC023034)
Source: RNAcentral
AAUUAAGAGAAAAAUGUAUGUGAUGAAAAAUAUUUUUAAAGACUUUGUGUUAAAAAAUUGGAUCAAAAUGAGUGAGAAAUUAAAUGGGAAAGAAAUGAAAUAAAAGAAAAGAAAAUAAAAAUAGAAAAUAGGGCACCAACGGCUACUAAGUUUAAAAAAAUGUGAUGGCGUUGUGUGAUUGGUUGAGAUUCAAAGUUGGCACCAAAACACGCGCAACCAGACUUUGUCUUCAACCUUCAGCUUGAUUUGGCAAAUCC